RNAcentral lists this unclassified non-coding RNA (257 nucleotides) under Hevea brasiliensis (rubber tree). Lineage: Eukaryota; Viridiplantae; Streptophyta; Magnoliopsida; Malpighiales; Euphorbiaceae. The record is from RNAcentral.
GACACUCGAUUAUACAGGAGAAACACAAGCAGCAGUAGCACCAGCGCGACGCCCACCGGAGACCCACCGACGCGGUGGAUGGAAUCUGGCGAGCCGGCGGAGAAGAGGCCGGAGAAGGCAGAGCCGCGGUCGGAGGAGAGGAAGCGGAUGAGGAGGAUGAGUCCCACAGGGAGGAGGAGAAGACCAGCUGGGCUGAGGAGAUCCGCGAAGGCCGUGGUGAGGGCCUCGCCGCCGUCGCCGAUAAGGUAGGGGACGGC